This 71-nucleotide transfer RNA is filed under the name Aethia cristatella. RNAcentral's name for it is "tRNA-Val". The record is from RNAcentral. Lineage: Eukaryota; Metazoa; Chordata; Aves; Charadriiformes; Alcidae.
CAAGAUGUAGCUAUAAAAUGAAAGCAUUCAGCUUACACCUGAAAGAUAUCUGACACACCAGAUCAUCUUGA